UGCCUGUUGCCGGGUUAGAGUCUAAGGUACCUCAGAGUCAUGGCAGGCCUGUGCUGCUGCGGGGUCCAGUGAGAGAUGUAUUAAGAACCAGGUACAUGUCGUGAGGCUACCUGGGGGAGUGGAUCGGGCAUCAUGGCACCUGCACACCGCCGGGGAAGCCACGCUUUGAUUGUCUCCUUUCACUGAAACCUGGAAAAAGUUCAGCUAAUACGCCAAAUUCGUUUCAUUUAGCUCCUACGUUAAGCAUGCAGGUCCUUCGAAAAUGGGUACUACUGAGCAAACACAUGUUAUGCAUAAUCACUGAAUGUCAGAAUGUCAAGUCAGCUCACAAUAAAACAGU
Pseudophryne corroboree (corroboree frog) is the source of this 340-nucleotide long non-coding RNA. RefSeq lists it as uncharacterized. The transcript has 4 exons. Lineage: Eukaryota; Metazoa; Chordata; Amphibia; Anura; Myobatrachidae. The record is from RefSeq and is a predicted model, not a curated record.